UACGUAGGUGGCAAGCGUUGUCCGGAUUUACUGGGCGUAAAGAGCGCGCAGGCGGUCGUUCAAGUCGAGUGUGAAGCCCCCGGCUCAACUGGGGAGGGUCACUCGAUACUGAUCGACUCGAAGGCAGAAGAGGGAAGCGGAAUUCCCGGUGUAGUGGUGAAAUGCGUAGAUAUCGGGAGGAACACCAGUGGCGAAGGCGGCUUUCUGGUCUGCUCUUGACGCUGAGGCGCGAAAGCUAGGGUAGCAAACGGG
This 252-nucleotide ribosomal RNA is filed under the name uncultured bacterium. RNAcentral describes it as "partial 16S ribosomal RNA". It matches the Rfam family "Bacterial small subunit ribosomal RNA", at positions 524 to 776 of the family's 1533-position model. The record is from RNAcentral.